This 248-nucleotide small nucleolar RNA is filed under the name Tetraodon nigroviridis (spotted green pufferfish). RNAcentral's name for it is "Small Cajal body specific RNA 6 (ENSTNIG00000020493.1)". Lineage: Eukaryota; Metazoa; Chordata; Actinopteri; Tetraodontiformes; Tetraodontidae. The record is from RNAcentral.
GGUCUGUGAUGUGGAUGUAAAAGGUCUGAGGUUCAGGCUCCUCCCCCGGCGCCCCUCCCAGCAGCCCCUGCUCCGACCCCGGCGCUCCAGCGUGCGUGUGGGCGCCAGCGGCUGCUGACAGAGCAGGAUGUGACCUCACGGCCCCUCAGAGACUUGGCGGGUGGCGUGACGCCAGCGUCCAACAGCAUCCGAGCAGGAGGAGCUGGGGGGCGGAGCCUGAACGCUGAUCUGUCCUUCCUGCUGAGACC